RNAcentral lists this ribosomal RNA (406 nucleotides) under uncultured bacterium. Its description in RNAcentral is "partial 16S ribosomal RNA". It matches the Rfam family "Bacterial small subunit ribosomal RNA", at positions 28 to 526 of the family's 1533-position model. The record is from RNAcentral.
GAUGAACGCUAGCUACAGGCUUAACACAUGCAAGUCGAGGGACCGGCGCACGGGUGAGUAACACGUAUCCAACCUGCCCUUUACUCGGGGAUAGCCUUUCGAAAGAAAGAUUAAUACCCGAUAUAAAGGAUGGGGAUGCGUUCCAUUAGGUUGUUGGUGAGGUAACGGCCCACCAAGCCUUCGAUGGAUAGGGGUACUGAGAGGAAGGUCCCCCACACUGGAACGGGGACACGGUCCAAACUCGUGCGGGAGGCAGCAGUGAGGAAUAUUUGUAAAUGGGCGUUAGCCUGAACCACCAAAGUAGCGUGAAGGAUGAAGGCUUAUGGGUCGUAAACUUCUUUUAUAUAAGAAUAUGUAUUAUAUGAAUAAGGAUCGGCUAACUCCGUACCAGCAGCCGCGGUAAUAC